Molecule: long non-coding RNA, 3728 nt
Organism: Hypanus sabinus (Atlantic stingray)
Lineage: Eukaryota; Metazoa; Chordata; Chondrichthyes; Myliobatiformes; Dasyatidae
Exons: 3
Source: RefSeq, a predicted model, not a curated record
GGAUCAUUCAACACCAGACUGGAUGCAUCAGCAUGUGGAUGCAGACUUUGGCUAAGGGAGUGCGAAGCGCAGAAACUGUGAUGAUUGUACGUUCUAGUAUCAAUUGGUGACAAUAAAGUAAAGGUUCUUUUGAAGACCCUGACCUCGAGUUGCACGCUGACUAUGGUUCUUUGCAGGAGUGGGACCCCCUCUUGUGCCGUUAUUCGGCAUGCCAAGGGCUUGGCCUAAGAGCUCAGCUCGCCUUCGAAGGAUCGAGAUCUCAUGGCUCUGGAGACGGGCGGAUUGAAGGUCGGUGUCUGGGCAGAUCAGUGUGUCAUGGGAGAUGGAAGAUCUGUGUGCCCAGAGACCAGAGAUCUUUGGGCACAGUGCUAGAAAAAAAAGUGACACAACAGACUUUUAGCAUCAUAAACCAGCAAGUUGUUUGUUAUGCCUCCCCUCUCGCUGUGAAAUGGAGACAUCCCUUUCUCCCUUAUUAGGGAGAGAGAGAGCCUGUGGUAUGUUGAAUACUGGAUGGACAAGUAGUCUUUAGAGUACUGUGAGUUUGUGUCUUUGCUGUUCCUUUGCUCAUGCUUGUGUGCCUGGUGGCCGGUGCAAAUGCUCUUUUUUUGCUGGUGGGGGGGGUCGUUAUUUGCUGCCUCUUACACAUGGGAGAGGAGGGGGACUUUGGGGUUCUAACAUUUAACCGUCAUUCAUUCUUUGGGAGCACUCCUCCAUUUUCGUGGAUGGUUGUGAAGAAAAAGCAUUUCAGGAUGUAUAUUGUAUACAUUUCUCUGACAUUAAAUGUACCUUUGAAAUGGAGCAUGGGUGGGGGCUGACCUAUUUUUAUGCCACUUAAGGAAAAUAUUAUGUGAACAGGUGUGCUGACUGGCUUAGCAGCCUCACAAUUCUUAUGUUGCUAUUAAUUAUAGAUAUAGUUUCAAUCUGUAACCCUAUAGACCCAGAAAUAAGUCUUCCAAUUCCAGUCGUCACCAUUACCUCCUUUUCUUUCUGGUGCAGCACCACCUUCUUGCACCUCUAACACAUGACAGAUGUCAUCAGCUCACACAAAAUAUUAAUGAAAACCAUGGACUGAUUGAUUGGAUGCCUUUAGGCCAUGAAAUCAGACUACCAAGUUGCGUGUGAUCAUCAGGUUUAUCGAAUAACUGUGUCCAAGUAAAAAAUAACAAAGCUUCGAUACAAUAAUGACAUAGGAAAACAAAAACUUAGCAGCAAGAUAUAUUCCUGUUCUAAAAGUUAUUACACCACAAAGCUACAUGGUGUUUAUUCAAUACAUUAGGGAAGUUAAUGAGAGUGUUUAAAUGUUUUCAUUUCCAUAGUUAUAAAUUUUUAUAGCACACUAGCAUAGUAAAAAUCAUACAUUGUGCAGUGCACAAGAUUUAAUGUUUAUUGAGUGUAUUAUGUUACUCUUUACUGAGAGGGUGUUAGAAAGAGCAUAUAUGAUUUGGGGAUUAUGCUAGAAAAGGCUAUGGAUAUCCGUUCACUUCACAAUGUCCUGAACAAUCCCCCUUGUUCACUGCCCCCAGCCCCCUUAGUUUUGUAAACACAUAAAAAUGAAUUUAAAGGAUUGGACAUUAUUCAUGAAACUGAGGAGGAAAGUGAGGCAUCAGGCAGCAUAACAUUUCUUUGAACAUUAAGUAAGAGGUAGCAGGUAGUUAGAUGUCCUGAAAUAUCAGUAACAAAUAUUGAGUAUUUAACUGCUAACAGGCUAGGAUAUUUUCUCCUUGUUCCUUUAACACUAAUUAUAUUUUUAACAAAGUCUCUCUCUAUUUAGUAGUACUAGAUAGUGAGGAUAUUACACUACAAAAAACACAAUAAUUUGUUGUAAAUACAAUUUAAAAAAAAUACAACACUGAACGUAGUGGUUAGCACAAUGCUUUAAUGUACCAGUGAUCUGGGUUCAUUUUCUGCUGCUGUCUGUAAGGAGUUUAUAUAUUCUCCCUGUGACCAUGUCGGUUUCCUCCAGGUGCUCUAGUUUCCUCCCAUAGUCCAAAGAUGUACUGGUUGGUGGGUUCAUUGGUCAUUUUAAAUUGCCCUGUGUUUAGGCUAGCAUUAAAUCAUGGGUUGCUGGGUGGCAUGGCUCAAAGAUCUAGAAGGGCCUAUUCCACACAGUAUUUCAAGAAUAUAUAAACAUUCAUAAAAAAUUUUUCUUGCUGAAAGUAGAAUGUAAGUCACUGUACAAAAACAUUCAAAGUUUUCUAAAAAGAAAGAACAGUAACGAUUACAUUCUGUAAGAUGGUUGAUCUGAUUUCAUCUGGAAAUAAAACAUAGUGAAACCUGCUUAACUGCUGAGUUCCUUCAGCAUUUUGAGUGUGCUGCUGUGAAAUCUAAAUAUCCAUUUAGAUAUAACCUGCUCAUGUCAACAAUAUUAACAUGCAACUGAAUAAUAUCAUUAAAGGACUAGAAGUUUCCUUUCAAGAAACAGAAACGUUGGAAGAAAAUGGGCUGGGAAAUUCAGAAGUGUUAAAUGGAAGGUGCCUUUACAUUUACUUAUUAUGACAAUACAUACCUAGAAUCUCACAAGUGUUUAGAGAAAGGAUUUCACAAUCUGUUACAGAGUACUGUAAUAAGUUAUACAGAAGUGCUUUAAAAAGUGCAUUAUAAGAUAGCAAAACGAACAUUUUGUAUUUCAGACAGUACCGGCAAUUACUUCAACCCAUUGUUUGAAGGAUGAUUUAGAUUGUUCUGGUGAGUGUUUCACACAAGUGAAAAGAAGGUAGAAAUUACACAUACCACUUUAUGUACUACAAACAUCAGAGCUUCAAUUAGUAAUACAGGCUCUCUUCCUUUAAUGAAUAAACUGGAAAUAUGAAUACUGAGUGUUGAUUCUAACUCUUAUAAAAUAAUAGAUCACUGAAGAAAUUUUUGCAAAAGCAAACUUUCUUAACAACUCUGAUGCUACACUACAAAGUAUUAUUUCUGUUCUCCAGUCUAUGAUUAUUUCUACUCUGUAUCAGUUCAUUCAAGCUUCAGAGUCAUUAUGGGUGUGCAUGCAGGAGUAUUAGAACAUCAGGUAAUGAUUACAAUUUGUGCCCUUUUUAACCACAGUUAAUCCUGACUGUGGCAUAGAAUAACUUUCCCUCUUAUUACAACAAUUUAUGCCUGGCUUCAAAUUACUUAUAAGAAGGCAGAUUAAAAUUAUGAACAGUUUAUUAAGAUAUCAUUUCAAUAAUUUAACAGUCACAAGUCUUCACUCAAAGUGUUAUCAAACAGAAUUUUCAUUUGAAUUUAAAAAUUAGCUUCAUUUAAACUUUCACCUUAACUUCUUCCCCACCACUUAGCACUUUAUAGUCUUACAUUGGAGAUUUCCCAGUUCCAUGCUACUGUUUGGACUUUGUCUCCGUUAAUUUAGGAGAGAGCAUAAAACUUGCAUCAUUGGGGUCUACUAGGAAAGAAACACCUUGUUGUUGUUCUGAUAAGUCUAUCCAUGGCCUCCUCUACUGUCAAGAUGAAGCCACACUCAGGUUAGAGGAACCUUAUAUACUGGCUGGGUAGCCUCCAACCUGAUGGCAUGAACAUUGACUUCUCUAACUUCCAUUAAUGCCCCUCCUCCCUUUCUUACCCCAUCUGAUACAUUUAGCUUUUCUCCCCCCUUUUUUUCUCUCUUUCUGCCCAUCACUCUGUCUGUUCUCCAUCUCUCUCUGGUGCUCCCCUCCCCCUUUCUUUCUCCCUAGGCCUCCCGUCCCAUGAUCCUUUCCCUUCUCUAGCUCUGUAUCCUUUUCGCCAAUCAC